UUGCUGAUUGCAACUCCAAAGUAGUAUAAGCAACUGAGCGUAGUUCAAAUGUUGAUUUGACCUACGGUGAGCAAGCAUUAGCUGGUUUAGAGAAGAAAUUUAAUCAGAGAGUUUUCUCCAUUUUAGCAUAUGCUUAUGUCUGCUUAUCAGUUACCAUGUUUUGAAUGAGGAAAUCUGAUGUAUUAGUACCGACUCGCAAACCAUACAUCACCUUAUUUUUAGUGGCUAAAUAGCCAUUUGAUAUGAGAACAGAGUUGAGCAUUUGGUACCAUGUUUUCAUUUGAAGUCAAUAGGGAUAGAAUAACUGGUUAUAGCUUGUGGAUGUUCUCAGUUGUUUUUUGCACACAAGGUGUUUGUGUGUUUGUCCGAGCCAGUUUUUUUUUGCACACAAGGUGUUUGUGUGUUUGUCUAAGACAGUUUCAGUCACAGAUGCUUGAGGUAAACUCUCAUAUAAAUACAUCAUGAGACUAACUCUCCUUCCAUAUGAUUCAAAAAAUGGUAUGAUGGUGGGAGUCAAUCUGGUAACUAAACUAAUGUCACGUGGGUGUGUGCAUAUGGAUGUGCCUUAGUUGUUCACAGCCAGAUGAACUGGGUUG
RNAcentral lists this long non-coding RNA (596 nucleotides) under Hordeum vulgare. RNAcentral describes it as "long non-coding RNA (HVUL_LNC002794)". The record is from RNAcentral. Lineage: Eukaryota; Viridiplantae; Streptophyta; Magnoliopsida; Poales; Poaceae.